RNA transcript from Cercocebus atys (sooty mangabey), 1356 nucleotides. It is a transcript of the gene named transmembrane protein 120A, with no coding region annotated. The transcript is spliced from 10 exons. The record is from RefSeq and is a predicted model, not a curated record. NCBI's taxonomy places the organism in Eukaryota, Metazoa, Chordata, Mammalia, Primates, Cercopithecidae.
GCGCGAGCCCGGAAGCGGACGGGGGCGGUGGCGUAGGAGCCUCGGGCGGGCCGGGGUUGCUGCGCUGUCCUCCGCUCCUGGCUCCUGGCUCUGCAGCCAUGCAGCCCCCGCCCCCGGGCCCGCUGGGCGACUGCCUGCGGGACUGGGAGGAUCUACAGCAGGACUUCCAGAACAUCCAGGAGACCCAUCGGCUAUACCGCCUGAAGCUGGAGGAGCUGACGAAACUUCAGAACAAUUGCACCAGCUCCAUCACGCGGCAGAAGAAGCGGCUCCAAGAGCUGGCCCUCACCCUGAAGAAAUGCAAACCCUCCCUCCCAGCAGAGGCCGAGGGGGCCGCGCAGGAGCUGGAGAACCAGAUGAAAGAGCGCCAAGGCCUAUUCUUUGACAUGGAGGCCUAUUUGCCCAAGAAGAAUGGAUUGUACCUGAGCCUGGUUCUGGGAAACGUCAACGUCACGCUCCUGAGCAAGCAGGCUAAGUUUGCCUACAAGGACGAGUAUGAGAAGUUCAAGCUCUACCUCACCAUCAUCCUGAUCCUCAUCUCCUUCACCUGCCGUUUCCUGCUCAACUCCAGGGUGACAGACGCUACCUUCAACUUCCUGCUGGUCUGGUACUACUGCACCCUGACCAUCCGGGAAAGCAUCCUCAUCAACAACGGCUCCCGGUGGGCAGGGCGGGCCCUGAGGGAGGGGAGCAUGGAAUGGGGCGCUGGGACCCUCUGGGAAGCAGGAACAGGCCCUGGGGGUGAUGAUCGUUCUCUGCUCCAGGAUCAAAGGCUGGUGGGUGUUCCAUCACUACGUGUCCACCUUCCUGUCGGGAGUCAUGCUGACGUGGCCCGAUGGUCUCAUGUACCAGAAAUUCCGGAACCAAUUCCUGUCCUUUUCCAUGUACCAGAGCUUUGUGCAGUUUCUCCAGUACUACUACCAGAGUGGCUGCCUCUACCGCCUGCGGGCACUGGGUGAGCGGCACACCAUGGACCUCACUGUGGUUCUGGCAGCUUUUUAACGCACUGACGUUGUUCAACCUGGCCCGGGACCCUCAGUGCAAGGAGUGGCAGGUGCUUAUGUGCGGCUUCCCCUUCCUCCUCCUCUUCCUCGGCAAUUUCUUCACUACCCUGAGGGUUGUGCACCAGAAGUUUCACAGUCAGUGGCAUGAAAGCAAGAAGGAUUGAGGCUGGGCCUUCUGCUGCCAGCCCAGAGGGGAUUCUGUGUCCCACGUGUUGGAGGGGAUGGGAGGCACCCCUCGAGUGUAUGUGUGUAUCAGGGGGUCUCUGCUGUUCUCCCUUGGGUUUUAUGGGCUCUGUGGGCCCUGAAGGAAGACCUGGGCCCAGUGCCCUCAAUAAAGAGAGGCCCAGAGGUA